GAAGAACACAAAAUAUGUAGCAGAAUGCAUGGGAGCAGGCAAAAGGGGCCGUUAACAGAUCGUAAAGAAGUGGUACAUAAACAUCAAAUAUAUACAAGAUUCGUGUUUGCACAGCGUACUAGUAUUUUGUCACACCAGGAAUCAAGGGAGUAUUCCACUGUCCACCCUUCUGAUUGACCUUAUAUAAACUUGCACUAUUGAAACUACUGCUUUGCCUUCUUUUUUCCCCUUACGUUAGCCAAACUCUCUAAACUCAAAACAAGAUCAGUUCAAAGUUCAAAGCCAGGGAACCUGGAAUUCUUCGGUGCAAGUAAGUCGAACAAGAAACAAGCAACACCACCUAAUCCUUGGAAAAGGGAGUAGGAAUGAUCUGCUUCAUUGUGUUCCCUUUCGUUCAUGAUCGUUCUUGCAUUUUGAUACAAGCAGCUUGCAAAAGCUUUUGCUCUUUCUUCGUAUAUACUCUCCCCAGUUAGCCGAUACAGGGAGAGGAAGGCAUAGGCAUUUCCAGAUGCUCCAUCUGCAAGUCCCACUUUCUCGACCAACCCACUUUUCCACACUACCUCUCCACCUUCUAUUGCAGCAUCACGAAACUCCCUAUCAUCUGACAGUACCUUAGAUACUUUGCACAUGGUAAUGGUAAUGCCUGUGGCACCAUGGGACCAUUGAACCAGCUUGUCUCUUGGAUUCCCUUCACUGACAGGAUAAUUACCACUGUGGGGAAACCUGUUGCUCAUCAUGUACCUUAAGGUUUCCUUAACAUCUUCAAUAUCUUCUUGAGAGAGCGGAAAAUGAAGUAACACGUGCAGAAUACCAGCAAGGCCGUGAGCUGCACCCCAAUACCUUGUCCCGUGCCAUCUAUACAUCAGAGGGCAGGCGGAGUUAUCAGAUGCGCCUGCUCUCCCUCCUGCUAGUAUUGCUUCAACCACAGGCAUAAGACUAUCAUCUGGUACUGACUCCACUCCCAAGUACUUCCUGAUAAACAAAGCUGCCCAUAAGAAGCCAGCUCGUCCAUAAAGGAGGUCAUAUGACAUUCCAAAACCUCCAUCUUCAGGUCCAACAGGAAGGGCUCUCUCUUGUGCUACCUCAAGG
This 1089-nucleotide unclassified non-coding RNA is filed under the name Hevea brasiliensis (rubber tree). Lineage: Eukaryota; Viridiplantae; Streptophyta; Magnoliopsida; Malpighiales; Euphorbiaceae. The record is from RNAcentral.